RNAcentral lists this ribosomal RNA (490 nucleotides) under uncultured bacterium. RNAcentral describes it as "partial 16S ribosomal RNA". It matches the Rfam family "Bacterial small subunit ribosomal RNA", at positions 30 to 507 of the family's 1533-position model. The record is from RNAcentral.
AUUGAACGCUGGCGGCAGACCUAACACAUGCAAGUCGAACGGUAACAGAAAGCAGCUUGCUGCUUUGCUGACGAGUGGCGGACGGGUGAGUAAUGUCUGGGAAACUGCCUGAUGGAGGGGGAUAACUACUGGAAACGGUAGCUAAUACCGCAUAACGUCGCAAGACCAAAGAGGGGGACCUUCGGGCCUCUUGCCAUCGGAUGUGCCCAGAUGGGAUUAGCUAGUAGGUGGGGUAAAGGCUCACCUAGGCGACGAUCCCUAGCUGGUCUGAGAGGAUGACCAGCCACACUGGAACUGAGACACGGUCCAGACUCCUACGGGAGGCAGCAGUGGGGAAUAUUGCACAAUGGGCGCAAGCCUGAUGCAGCCAUGCCGCGUGUAUGAAGAAGGCCUUCGGGUUGUAAAGUACUUUCAGCGGGGAGGAAGGGAGUAAAGUUAAUACCUUUGCUCAUUGACGUUACCCGCAGAAGAAGCACCGGCUAACUCCGUG